Long non-coding RNA from Dermacentor andersoni, 1552 nucleotides. RefSeq lists it as uncharacterized. Lineage: Eukaryota; Metazoa; Arthropoda; Arachnida; Ixodida; Ixodidae. The record is from RefSeq and is a predicted model, not a curated record.
UUCGCCGCUUCGUAUGAGCGAUAUUCAUGGUUCCAUAUUAUCAUGUGGCAUCCUGUAUCAAGUCUUGCCUGCUCCCGUAUAAACCCAUACACCCGUUUGCAAUUAUUGUACGCACUGCGUGGGUCGUUUUUAAUGCAGGAAUCUCCCUGUAAAAGAAGCUAUUCAUAACGCUAAUCUCAUUUUUUUUAUUGAUUGUACGUUGCCGCGGGCCAUUUCAACAUGUUUUCACCAAGUGUUGUUCCAAUGUACCUUUCAUACCGACCACCUCACUCUACUGAAGCCUACUUCUAAGCCACCGGCGAUCUUGGUCGGCAAGAAUGACAAAAUCUACAACACUGCAUCAUUCCGACGCGAAAGUGUUGUCAUUGUUUACACGUGCAGCCAGUUCAACGUAAUUUCUGUGCCAUCCUGCCAAGCUUUCAUGCGGACACACACCCCCGUCUCUAUGUCUGUUGUGCGAAUUCGUUGCACUGCAGACCUUCCUUGCGGAGGCAUCUACACUUCUCAAUCGAUGACGGACGCAAUUACUAGCAAUUCUUUCUGUCAGGUAAAGCUGCUUACGUGGGAUCUGAACCCGGUGGAAACUUGGCGACUGGCAGUGGGAGUGUGAACGUGGAAGCAAUAAAUAUGUUUUGAUGGUGUGUGGCUAUAGAGGUCGUUUAAGACGUGCAGAGUGGAGUCCCUGUGGCAGGCAAUCACGCUACGCAGUGCGCAGCGUUGGCUAGGCUCAGUAUCACUUCGUCCACUCUGCGUUCAUUGAAACAAUGGGUUCACGUCUGCCCGUAGGGUUUUAGUGAAGUACGUAUAUGGUCACGAUAAACCCUUAAGCCGCGUCGUACACAUUAACAUACGUGAUUUGCUUUCCGGUACGUGAGUAGCCUUCCGGUACUGUCUUUGUGGGCCUGCGACUUUCUGGGCUGAUGAACCCUCACCCCGGCCCUCCUCUCCCCCCUACUCUCUCCAUCUCACUGUCUUCGGGAAUGCUACCAUAGAGAAAGACAUUCAACAAGAGGGGACAUUCGGCAAAGGCUUGCAGCAGGAAACACGUCACGCCUAGUGUCAACACCAUCCGUUAGUUGACGCGAGCAUCGAAAGAAAAAAUAAGUGAAAUGAACUUACAGAUAUUUCAUUCUUUUAUUCUUUCCGGCUAAAACUAAGCAGGUUUGCGUAUAAAUGAACUUAUAAUUUGAGACUCAUUUUCCUUGCGUUACCUAGCAACAAGCUAGCGACACGCCAGACGUGCCAUAUGCAUGCGUCAUUCGCCAGACAUGCCACAGAAGCGAGCGAGGCCAGCUGCGCAUGUGAAGCUCGCCUGCUCGGCGACCCGUCUCUUUUGAAUGUAGCUCGUUUGUUGAGUCCCCGGUUUUUUCUCGCGUUCCUUCUGCAUUUCGAGAUGGCACCACUGCACCACUGGACUGCAGCAAGCUGAUGCCGGUCCGGUGCAGCUUCGUACUAGAACUGCUGCUGCUUACCUGGUGUCGCAACGUUGGGUGAACGCACAAAAAGCCCGGACGAGCAUUUACAUAGAGCGAAAUAAACAUUUCCUCAUUUA